AUUGAACGCUGGCGGCAGGCCUAACACAUGCAAGUCGAGCGGAUGAAGGGAGCUUGCUCCUGGAUUCAGCGGCGGACGGGUGAGUAAUGCCUAGGAAUCUGCCUGGUAGUGGGGGAUAACGUCCGGAAACGGGCGCUAAUACCGCAUACGUCCUGAGGGAGAAAGUGGGGGAUCUUCGGACCUCACGCUAUCAGAUGAGCCUAGGUCGGUUUAGCUAGUUGGUGGGGUAAAGGCCUACCAAGGCGACGAUCCGUAACUGGUCUGAGAGGAUGAUCAGUCACCCGGGAACUGAGACACGGUCCAGACUCCUACGGGAGGCAGCAGUGGGGAAUAUUGGACAAUGGGCGAAAGCCUUGUCCAGCCAUGCCGCGUGUGUGAAGAAGGUCUUCGGAUUGUAAAGCACUUUAAGUUGGGAGGAAGGGCAGUAAGUUAAGACCUUGCUGUUUUGACGUUACCAACAGAAUAAGCACCGGCUAACUUCGUG
RNAcentral lists this ribosomal RNA (484 nucleotides) under uncultured bacterium. RNAcentral's name for it is "partial 16S ribosomal RNA". It matches the Rfam family "Bacterial small subunit ribosomal RNA", at positions 30 to 507 of the family's 1533-position model. The record is from RNAcentral.